This 495-nucleotide ribosomal RNA is filed under the name uncultured bacterium. RNAcentral describes it as "partial 16S ribosomal RNA". It matches the Rfam family "Bacterial small subunit ribosomal RNA", at positions 28 to 507 of the family's 1533-position model. The record is from RNAcentral.
GACGAACGCUGGCGGCGUGCCUAAUACAUGCAAGUAGAACGCUGAAGGAGGAGCUUGCUUCUCCGGAUGAGUUGCGAACGGGUGAGUAACGCGUAGGUAACCUGCCUGGUAGCGGGGGAUAACUAUUGGAAACGAUAGCUAAUACCGCAUAAGAGUAGAUGUUGCAUGACAUUUGCUUAAAAGGUGCAAUUGCAUCACUACCAGAUGGACCUGCGUUGUAUUAGCUAGUUGGUGGGGUAACGGCUUACCAAGGCGACGAUACAUAGCCGACCUGAGAGGGUGAUCGGCCACACUGGGACUGAGACACGGCCCAGACUCCUACGGGAGGCAGCAGUAGGGAAUCUUCGGCAAUGGACGGAAGUCUGACCGAGCAACGCCGCGUGAGUGAAGAAGGUUUUCGGAUCGUAAAGCUCGGUUGUAAGAGAAGAACGAGUGUGAGAGUGGAAAGUUCACACUGUGACGGUAUCUUACCAGAAAGGGACGGCUAACUACGUG